GCGCCCGUAGCUCAGCUGGAUAGAGCAACGGCCUUCUAAGCCGUGGGUCGCAGGUUCGAAUCCUGCCGGGCGUG
Transfer RNA from Marinobacter lutaoensis, 74 nucleotides. It matches the Rfam family "tRNA". Rfam says of the family: Transfer RNA (tRNA) molecules are approximately 80 nucleotides in length. Their secondary structure includes four short double-helical elements and three loops (D, anti-codon, and T loops). The record is from Rfam. Lineage: Bacteria; Pseudomonadati; Pseudomonadota; Gammaproteobacteria; Pseudomonadales; Marinobacteraceae.